This 581-nucleotide ribosomal RNA is filed under the name uncultured archaeon. Its description in RNAcentral is "bacterial SSU rRNA". It matches the Rfam family "Bacterial small subunit ribosomal RNA", at positions 393 to 965 of the family's 1533-position model. The record is from RNAcentral.
AACGCCGCGUGAGUGAAGAAGGCUUUGGAUUGUAAAGCUCUUUCGGCUGGGAAGAGGGGGGGCUAGUCUAAUAAACUAGCGCUUUGACGGUACCAGAAGAAGAAGCACUGGCUAAUUCCGUGCCAGCAGCCGCGGUAAUACGGAAGGUGCAAGCGUUGUUCGGAUUGACUGGGCGUAAAGAGCACGUAGGCGGGUUCGUAAGUCGAUUGUGAAAGCCCCAGGCUUAACCUGGGAACGGCGAUCGAAACUGUGAAUCUUGAAUACCCAAGAGGUUAGUAGAAUUCCUGGUGUAGGAGUGAAAUCCGUAGAUAUCAGGAGGAAUACCGGCGGCGAAGGCGGCUAACUGGUGGUGUAUUGACGCUGAGGUGCGAAAGUGCGGGGAGCAAACAGGAUUAGAUACCCUGGUAGUCCGAAACGUAAACGAUGGAUACUAGGUAGUAAGGGCAUUAACCCCCUGAGUACUAAAGCAAACGCAUUAAGUAUCCCGCCUGAGGAGUACGAGCCGCAAGGCUAACACUCAAAGGAAUUGACGGGGGCCAGACAAGCGGUGGAGAAUGUGGUAUAAUUCGAAGCAACGCGCA